GACGAACGCUGGCGGCGUGCUUAACACAUGCAAGUCGAACGGAAAGUCCCUGCUUUUGUGCGGUGCUCGAGUUGCCAACUGGUGACUAACACUUUACUAACCUGCCCUUCACUUUGUGAUAACUUCAUGCAACUGGUGCUAUUACCGGAUAGGAUCUCCUGCUGCAUGGUGGGGGUUGGUUAGUUUCGGCGGUUGGGGAUGUACUCGCCGCCUAUCAGCUUGUUUGUUGGGUAGUGGCUUACCAAGGCUUUGCCAGGUAGCCGGCCUGAGAGGGGAACAGGACACAAUGGGACUGAGAUACGGCACAGACUAGAACGGGAGGCAGGAGAGGGGAAUAGUGCACAAUGGGAGGAAGCCUGAUGCAGCAAAGCCGCGUGCGGGAUGAGGGGAAUGGGGUAGUAAACCGAAUUCGCAUGAGAGGAAGAGUGAGUGACGGUAAUGGGUAAAGAAGCACCGGCUAACUACGUG
Molecule: ribosomal RNA, 468 nt
Filed under: uncultured bacterium
Lineage: Bacteria
Description: partial 16S ribosomal RNA
Rfam family: Bacterial small subunit ribosomal RNA
Source: RNAcentral